Non-coding RNA from Pelobates cultripes (western spadefoot toad), 178 nucleotides. The record is from the annotation of a GenBank genome assembly. NCBI's taxonomy places the organism in Eukaryota, Metazoa, Chordata, Amphibia, Anura, Pelobatidae.
UUGACUGGGGCGGUACACCUGUUAAACCGUAACGCAGGUAUCCUAAGGCGAGCUCAGGGAGGACAGAAACCUCCCGCGGAGCAGAAGGGCAAAAGCUUGCUUGAUCUUGAUUUUCAGUAUGAAUACAGACAGUGAAAGCGGGGCCUCACGAUCCUAGUUCAAGAUUAUUAUUUUAAUG